This 506-nucleotide ribosomal RNA is filed under the name uncultured Chloroflexota bacterium. RNAcentral's name for it is "bacterial SSU rRNA". It matches the Rfam family "Bacterial small subunit ribosomal RNA", at positions 355 to 874 of the family's 1533-position model. The record is from RNAcentral. Lineage: Bacteria; Bacillati; Chloroflexota.
UAAGGAAUAUUGCUCAAUGGGCGCAAGCCUGAAGCAGCGACGCCGCGUGGGUGAUGAAGGUCUUCGGAUCGUAAAGCCCUUUUUUGGGUGACGAGCAAGGACGGUAGCCUAAGAAGAAGUCUCGGCUAACUACGUGCCAGCAGCCGCGGUAAAACGUAGGAGACGAGCGUUAUCCGGAAUUACUGGGCGUAAAGCGCGUGUAGGCGGUUGAGUAAGUUUGUCGUGAAAGCUCUCGGCUAAACUGGGAGAGGUCGAUGGAUACUGCUCGGCUGGAGUGGGGGAGAGGCAGGUGGAAUUCCGGGUGUAGUGGUGAAAUGCGUAGAGAUCCGGAGGAACACCAGUGGCGAAGGCGGCCUGCUGGCCCACCACUGACGCUGAGACGCGAAAGCAUGGGGAGCGAACGGGAUUAGAAACCCCGGUAGUCCAUGCCGUAAACGAUGCAAACUAAGUGUUCGUGAGGGGAAACCCUCGGGAGUGCUGAAGCUAACGCGUUAAGUUUGCCGCCU